This 563-nucleotide ribosomal RNA is filed under the name uncultured Glomeromycotina. RNAcentral's name for it is "SSU rRNA". It matches the Rfam family "Eukaryotic small subunit ribosomal RNA", at positions 548 to 1114 of the family's 1831-position model. The record is from RNAcentral. Lineage: Eukaryota; Fungi; Glomeromycota.
UUGGAGGGCAAGUCUGGUGCCAGCAGCCGCGGUAAUUCCAGCUCCAAUAGCGUAUAUUAAAGUUGUUGCAGUUAAAAAGCUCGUAGUUGAAUUUCGGGAUCAGAGUGUCGGUCGUGCCUCGGUACGUACUGGUAUUAUUGAUUCCUACCUUCUGAAGAACCGCGAUGUCAUUAAUUUGGUGUCGUGGGGAAUCAGGACUGUUACCUUGAAAAAAUUAGAGUGUUUAAAGCAGGCUUACGCUUGAAUACAUUAGCAUGGAAUAUGAAAUAGGACGUUUGAUUCUAUUUUGUUGGUUUCUAGGAUUGACGUAAUGAUUAAUAGGGAUAGUUGGGGGCAUUAGUAUUCAAUUGUCAGAGGUGAAAUUCUUGGAUUUAUUGAAGACUAACUACUGCGAAAGCAUUUGCCAAGGAUGUUUUCAUUAAUCAAGAACGAAAGUUAGGGGAUCGAAGACGAUCAGAUACCGUCGUAGUCUUAACCAUAAACUAUGCCGACUAGGGAUCGGAUGAUGUUAAUUUUUUAAUGACUCAUUCGGCGCCUUACGGGAAACCAAAGUGUUUGGGUUC